RNAcentral lists this transfer RNA (65 nucleotides) under Lumbricidae sp. MPL-2014. Its description in RNAcentral is "tRNA-Val". The record is from RNAcentral. Lineage: Eukaryota; Metazoa; Annelida; Clitellata; Crassiclitellata; Lumbricidae.
CGAGAUAUAGCAUAUAUAAUGCUUUUUACUUACACUAAAAAUAAAGCUCAUAGCUUACCUCGCUU